Molecule: long non-coding RNA, 702 nt
Organism: Mustela lutreola (European mink)
Lineage: Eukaryota; Metazoa; Chordata; Mammalia; Carnivora; Mustelidae
Exons: 2
Source: RefSeq, a predicted model, not a curated record
CUAGAAGGAGUGGCUUCCCCAGAAAUAUGCGCCUCAGAAGUGGGGUCCAUCCCACCUUCUUUAUGUGUUUGUCUUGGAUCUUCCUUCCAACAAAAUGUAAGCUCUUUGAGAAGAGCUUUGUCUAUCUCAUUCACCUCUAUCUACAUCCAGUGCCUAGAACAGGACCUGUCCUAUAGUGGAUACUCAAAAAACCCUUCUCAACUGAGGGUUUAGUGAGUGUUGGCAGCGGCACAGACCUGCUGAAUUAAGGAAGAUGGGGCGGGGGAGGCAACAACGCCUGGCGCUUGAAAAACAUGUUCAUCGCUGGGAAACAAUUUAAAACAGGUCAGAUUCAUCUGGCUCUAUGUCACAUUCUCUCCAGGACCCCAGCUAACAAAGCAGCCCCUUUUUGGAAUAUUGCCUGACUCUUAGCAGAGAGAGAAAAGAAAAGGGCACAGAGGAUCACAUGCUGGCUCUUCAAGCUUCUGUUCAGAAGUGAUACACAUCACUUCUGCUCAGAUUUCACGAGCUGAAGCAAGACAUGGCUAAGCCUGUAUCAAUGAAGCAGAUAAAUUUAAACCUCCGAAGUAGGGACAGCAAAUAUCUUGCGGGAUUAUGCAAUCUACAAGAGAAGAUGAUAUUAAUAAAUUUAUGAGGAUAAAUCCAUGUAACAUCUUAUGGACAUAACUUAGUGCUUAACUGUAGUAAAGACUUAUUAAAUUA